UUUGUCAACUUUCAGCAGAAGCAGCCUCAGGGCAUUGAGCACAGACUGAAUGACUCAGUGACGCUUGGAUCAGCUCAGAUCAAAUUCUCAAGCAAACAGAUGGCUGGGGAUAUUCAGUAACAACGGUGAGGAGAGAGAGGAACAAUUCACAUUUCAAGUGACCCUUCCUCAAAACGGUCUGUUCUGUAGGAGCUUUCCCGCAGAAAUCACUGGAUUGAAAGCUUCUGGCAACAAAUGGCCACAAACCGAUCAAAGGUGAAAGUGACGGUGAACCAGACAGAGCAGUCAGUGGCUGCAUAAAGCAGGGCGGCGUGGAUAUUACACACGGGGACAGAGUACCUCAGGAAAUAAAACUGUUCCCGAUAAACAAUGGGAAUGUGUCUCAGGAUCAGGUCGAGGAUAAUGACCAGGAGAUCCGCCGCUGCCAUGGCCCCCAGGCAAGGGCGCCUGGAGGCAUGGUACAUUGGGGAAACCGAGCAAAGGCUACGACAAAGGAUGAAUGGGCACCACACCACAAUCAACAGACAGAAGUGUUGCCUCCCAGUUGGGACACUUCUGCGGUACUGGACAUUCGACCUUGGGUGACCAUCCUCCAAGGCAGACUUCAGGACAGUCAACAGCGAAAAAUAGCCAAACAGGGCUGAUAGCUAAGUUCAGUACCCAUAGGGAGGGCCUCAACUGGGCCCUUUGGUUCAUCAUACUACAGGUGACCACCAUUGCACUAUAUACAUACACAGACACAGUUACACACACACACACACACACACUCCUAUACACACACAUACACACGGACACACAUAUACACAGACAUGCACACAGACACUCAUGCACACCCUUACAGACACACACACUCCCAUACUCACACAUGCAUCCUCUCAGAGACUUAGACCACUCUACACUCAUGCAGGCACAUAUACCCUCUCUCUCACAGACACUCGCAAACCCCCACCCCAGACACAUACACACUUCCACUCACACAUGCACCCCCUCACUGAAUUAAGACACUCUGCAAUCACGACACACACAUGUACACUCUCUCUCACACUUACAACCCCCAAACCAGACAGACGUACACACAGACAGACACAAAGACCCACAUGCGCCCAUACGUUUUGUGGGGUGAAUUUGUACUUGCAGAGUUACAUUGUACUUUGCUCAAAAACAGUAAAACUCUGUUAUCUGGCUUUUUAGGUUAGAAUUGAUCUAAAAUCAUGGCAUAGACAGAGAACACAGGGCGCUAACACCUUCGACAUAUUGUCUAAAUAACCCAAUUGUUACAGUUAACCUGAGAAUGCAACUUAAAAAAAAAGUUUUUUGAUUUACACACGGAAGAAGGUAAACUAUCAUGGUUUUUGAACAGAUGAAAGACUCAACAGACAAUCAAGGUAAUUUUCAAUGUGUAGCUUCAGUUACAUCAUAUCGUAAUUUUUUUUGCUAUAAAUGCUGUGCCUUACAAUUUUGUCCCCCACAAUCACCUGAAGAAGGUGCGGUUCUCUGAAAGCUACUGUGCUUCCAAUUAAACCUGUUGGACUAUAA
This is a long non-coding RNA of Hemiscyllium ocellatum (epaulette shark), 1536 nucleotides long. RefSeq lists it as uncharacterized. The transcript has 3 exons. Lineage: Eukaryota; Metazoa; Chordata; Chondrichthyes; Orectolobiformes; Hemiscylliidae. The record is from RefSeq and is a predicted model, not a curated record.